UCAAAAAGACAAAACAGAAGACAAAAAUAACACAAAGUUAUUUUAAAAAUACAGAGAAGAAAUAAAAUAGCGAAAACAUGAGGUGAUGCAGAACUUUUAUCUAUCAUUAAAAAUAAUGCAAUAAAAUGAAACCAUUCCCCUUAUCAGAUUAGGAGAUGUAAAUCCUGAUAACAUCCAAUGUGGGUAAAGGUGUAGGGGAUCAGGUGCUUUCACACACUGCUGCUGGAAAUGUACAGUCUUUUUUGGAAAGUGUCAAAUUUUCAAAAUGUAUCUAUCCUUAAACUUAGCAAUCGGCAGGGCACGGUGGCUCACGCCUGUAAUCGCAGCACUUUGGGAGACCAAAGCAGAUGAAUCACCUGAGGUCAAGAGUUCAAGACCAGCCUGGCCAACACGAAAGAAGCUCUCACAGUGGAAGACUAUAAUAUGACAUAAGAAGAAAUGUGGACUUGGAGAUACAGAAGAGACAGGGUCUCGCUCUGUUACCCAGGCUGGAGUGUAGUGGCACGAUCUAAGGUCACUGCAACCUCCGCCUCUGGGGUUCAAGCCUCCCACCUCAGCCUACCAAGCAACUGGGACUACAG
Molecule: long non-coding RNA, 581 nt
Filed under: Homo sapiens (human)
Lineage: Eukaryota; Metazoa; Chordata; Mammalia; Primates; Hominidae
Description: HSALNT0382147
Source: RNAcentral